Molecule: ribosomal RNA, 421 nt
Filed under: uncultured bacterium
Lineage: Bacteria
Description: bacterial SSU rRNA
Rfam family: Bacterial small subunit ribosomal RNA
Source: RNAcentral
UAAGGAAUAUUGGUCAAUGGACGCAAGUCUGAACCAGCCAUGCCGCGUGAAGGAUGAAGGUCCUCUGGAUUGUAAACUUCUUUUAUCUGGGACGAAAACGGGAUUUUUAUCUCAAUUGACGGUACCAGAGGAAUAAGCACCGGCUAACUCCGUGCCAGCAGCCGCGGUAAUACGGAGGGUGCGAGCGUUGUCCGGAUUUACUGGGUUUAAAGGGUGCGUAGGUGGGCUUAUAAGUCAGUGGUGAAAUCUCCGAGCUUAACUUGGAAACUGCCGUUGAUACUAUAGGUCUUGAAUUAUCUGGAGGUAAGCGGAAUAUGUCAUGUAGCGGUGAAAUGCUUAGAUAUGACAUAGAACACCAAUUGCGAAGGCAGCUUACUACAUAUAAAUUGACGCUGAGGCACGAAAGCGUGGGGAUCAAACA